CUAGUACGGCGAGUGAACAGGCAAGAGCUCAGAUUUGAAAGGCACUUUUGUGCCGUUGUAUUCUGAAGUUAGGGUCCUGAGAAACGAUGCUUAAGUCUUCUGGAAAGGAGCGCCAUGGAGGGUGAUAGCCCCGUCUAGCAUUGACCUCAUAUAGGAUCUUAACAUGGAGUCGAGUUGUUUGGGAAUGCAGCUCAAAUGGGUGGUAUGCUCCAUCUAAAGCUAAAUAUCUGCGAGAGACCGAUAGUAAACAAGUACUGUGAGGGAAAGAUGAAAAGAACUUUGAAAAGAGAGUGAAAAAGUACGUGAAAUUGUUGAAAUGGAAGGGUAGGCCGCUAACCAUGUAGAGCCGUGUUUGGGGGGAAGAUAAAUGCUGUAGAAUGUAGCUCCUCGGAGUAUUAUAGAUGCAGUUCAUAUUCCCACCCGAGCGCGAGGAUCUCAGGUUCUACUAAAUGGUGGUCUACCAC
This 464-nucleotide ribosomal RNA is filed under the name Starmerella bacillaris. RNAcentral describes it as "eukaryotic LSU rRNA". It matches the Rfam family "Eukaryotic large subunit ribosomal RNA", at positions 80 to 648 of the family's 3401-position model. The record is from RNAcentral. Lineage: Eukaryota; Fungi; Ascomycota; Dipodascomycetes; Dipodascales; Trichomonascaceae.